Molecule: long non-coding RNA, 788 nt
Organism: Bubalus bubalis (water buffalo)
Lineage: Eukaryota; Metazoa; Chordata; Mammalia; Artiodactyla; Bovidae
Exons: 3
Source: RefSeq, a predicted model, not a curated record
CUGGCCAGAAGCUGGCAAAGGCAGAGUGCCAGGGAAGGAGGGGGUACUAAGGGAGGGGCAGGGAUGAGGCGGCUGGCAGGGACGGAGGGGACCAGCUUAGAUGAUGAUCCACAUGGGCAAGGGGGAGAUGCCGAGUCUGGGAGGGUUGGAGGGGACCAGGAAGGACAGAUGGGGGAUAAGCAAGGAGACGGGAGGCCCGAGGGCAGACUCUGAGAGGCACAGGGAAGAUGCCGGCCAAGGAGGGGCUGGGAAAGGAGGGUGCCUGGCAGGUGCUGCAAAGGGUGGAGAGUCGGGGAGGUGGAAGAGGAGACGGGGUGCCCGGCAGGCGACCAGAGGAGCUGGAGUGUCCAUCAAGGCCUGGGGAAGCUAAUAAGUCUGGUGACUACAAGAAAUAAGAGAUCCUUCAUGGGCUAUCAUGGAAGCUCUGUGACUCUCUGACCAUGAUUUGAGCUGAGAGUUUAAAGGCCCCAGCUUGUCGUUUUCUUUCUGCGAGGACCCUGAUGCUCUCAGAAUUCCUUCUGCGGUCAUCCUACAGUCCCUGUAGUCAUCCUCACUGCCAUACAGAGCUUACACUGAGGUUACCCUAUUCUUGCUCUAUUAUUGUAUACUUUCUUGUCGGGUAUGGAUAAAAACUCCCAACAAAGGAGCAGAUGGAUUCACAAGAGAAUUCCACCAAACUUUUUCUUAUGGGUGUGUAUACUUUUUUUUUUUUUUUUUUUUGGAGUAUAGCUGAUUUGGGGCUUCCCAGAUAGUUUAGUGGUAAAGAAUCUGCCUGCCAAGCAGAUGUG